GUCCACGCCGUAACUAUGGAUACUAGGUGUCCGGAUGUUAACCUCCUGGGUACCGAAGCUCACGCAUUAAGUAUCCCGCCUGGGAGUACGGUCGCAAGACUAAACUCAAGGAAUUGACGGGCCCGCACAAGCGGCGGAGCAUGUUGCUUAAUUCGAUGCGACGCGAAGAACCUUACCUGGGCUUGACAUGCAGGGUGAAACCCGUGAAGCGGGCGCUCUUCGGAGCCUGCACAGGUGGUGCAUGGCUGUCGU
Molecule: ribosomal RNA, 252 nt
Filed under: uncultured bacterium
Lineage: Bacteria
Description: partial 16S ribosomal RNA
Rfam family: Bacterial small subunit ribosomal RNA
Source: RNAcentral